This is a long non-coding RNA of Rosa rugosa (rugosa rose), 1934 nucleotides long. RefSeq lists it as uncharacterized. The record is from RefSeq and is a predicted model, not a curated record. The transcript is spliced from 4 exons. NCBI's taxonomy places the organism in Eukaryota, Viridiplantae, Streptophyta, Magnoliopsida, Rosales, Rosaceae.
AAGAGCAAGCUUAAAGGUCACUCUAAGAGGAUAACUGGCCUAGCAUUCUCUCAUGUAUUAAAUGUGCUAGUUUCAUCGGGAGCAGAUGCUCAGGUACACCUAAUCAGAUCUUGUUCUUAUGUAGUUUUACUAUUGUGAUAGUAGUCCAAAAUCUAAUCAGCCACAGGUCCCAAGUCAGGUACACCUAAUCUUCUCUCCUGCAUGAUUUUUAUUCUCUGUUGCCAUCCCUUUUUCUACCAUUCACUCACUCAAAUGAUCUACGUUUUUAUCAAAUAACAGCUCUGCAUGCAGCUUCAUUGAGUAGUUAAGUCCCCUUGCUGCACACUCACUAAGGGCCACCUUCUUGUGGUUUUACUUUGAUUACUGCUCUACUGCCUGUCAAAUUGAAAUACUGAACCCUAAAAACACAGGAAUGGGAAAAAAAUAGAGGUAGUAUUAACCUUGGUUUACUAGUUUUCACUUAUGUGCACCUCAUUGAGAUUUGAUUUUUUUUUUUUUUUUUUGUGAGAAAUUGGAGUUGGAGGGUUGCACAAAACUGGCAGCAUUCAUAUCACAUCCUGUGAGUAAAUGCAAUAUGAUUAGCAAGGAAAUUGAAAAGGCACACUAGGAGAAGGUCAACCUUGAUGAUCAUAUUAGUGUUGCUCUCUUUGAUGAAAAUGUAAGAGCUCCUCAGUUGAAGAGAUUGUACAUAUAUGCAUUACCUAAGUUGAUGACAAUAUGGCAGAACCAACUGCUUGCUCCAAACUUUGAUGUCAAAUUGUAAACUCCAUAGAGAUACUGUUUUGUGAGAGUUUGAAAAAUAUUUUUUUAGUCCCAUUAAUGGUCAGAGAUGGUCUUCAGCAACUACAGAAUCUGCAAGUGAAGCUUUGAACAGUAGUGGAGGACAACUCUUCCUGAGUCUGUCUUCCUAGUGUCCGUUACUCAAUGAAUCGCUAGUGGAUAACUGCAGAAAUCUAGAGAUUUUUUCUGCAAUGGUUCAGGAAAAAAAUGAGUUGGAUAAUCAGUGUGCUCCAAUUAAAUCAUCUCUAUUCUGGAUUGAGAAGCAGGUCAGUGAAAUAUAUUCGGACGUACGGGGACUUUAAGCCAUUUGAUGCAAUUGCUUCUACUUACAAUUCAUUUGCUCCACCUUCAACAUGAUAUGAAAAGCCAUGCCGCCACUUCCCAGCCAUCUGAUACAUUUUUCAUAAAAGCUUGCAAGUUGACGACUCAAGGGACAAGUCCAGAAGGCAAAUUAACCAACUUGCAUGUACGUAUAUAUUAAGUGUGGUGUGUGCACCAAGUAUUUGUCGUAAAGUUUAUCUACGACUAGCUAGUGACAACAUCUCUACCGGGAAGACACAGUGCAGGCCGGGAAUGGAGAGCUAGCAGUAAGCAGUGUUGAUCCCAAGCCUCAUACUUUUCUACAUAGCACGGUGUAAGUUUUAUCACUUUUUUUCCAGUCUACUCAAACUAUGCUCAGUAUAGACAACUGGCUAGCUUUUGCUUUUUUGAGAAAAAAUAUAGUAUGGUACAAAAAUGCUAUGUUUUAUGGUUUCUGCCCUGAAACCAAUGCCAGUAGCCAUAUGACAUGGUGCAAACUCUGUUCUAGUGGGCGGCAAAGAGUCGGAACUCAUAUACCCAAGAGCAACUUGAUGAGGUGCGCAUUGAAGCGGCUGACUACUUGUAGAUUUUGCUAUAGCUAGAUCUUGACAAGCAAUAUGAUUUUGAGUAAGGCUAGAUUUUGCUGACCAUUUUGUAGUAGAUGUAGUGAUAUCAGGAUGAAUUGUGAACAAAUUAUGCUGCAUGUAGUUAUUGCAGUAGUGGUAUCUUCUACACUAGCCUUAAAGUAGGUUAGGGUUUAUUGUGCAAAACUUUUGAAACUACCUCAAGCUCUAAUUUUGUAUAGAAAUUAAUACAAUUCCCUAAUAUUUAAAGUACAUUUGAAUUUCAUGUUA